UACGUAGGCAGCGAGCGUUGUUCGGAAUUACUGGGCGUAAAGAGUGUGUAGGCGGUGCUUUAAGUUCGGUGUGAAAUCUCCUGGCUCAACUGGGAGGGUGCGCCGGAAACUGGAGUGCUUGAGCGUGGGAGAGGAAAGCGGAAUUCCUGGUGUAGCGGUGAAAUGCGUAGAUAUCAGGAGGAACACCUGUGGUGUAGACGGCUUUCUGGACCAUUGCUGACGCUGAGACACGAAAGCGUGGGUAGCAAACAGG
Molecule: ribosomal RNA, 253 nt
Filed under: uncultured bacterium
Lineage: Bacteria
Description: partial 16S ribosomal RNA
Rfam family: Bacterial small subunit ribosomal RNA
Source: RNAcentral